CAAUCGUGCUGGCGCUCCCCUGGGGUUGCUAGGUAACGGGCAGAACUCUGCUGAGGUUGCUAUGUAACGUGCUGG
Long non-coding RNA from Xiphophorus couchianus (Monterrey platyfish), 75 nucleotides. RefSeq lists it as uncharacterized. The record is from RefSeq and is a predicted model, not a curated record. The transcript is spliced from 3 exons. Lineage: Eukaryota; Metazoa; Chordata; Actinopteri; Cyprinodontiformes; Poeciliidae.